UCGGGCGUCGCCAAGCGGUAAGGCACCUGGUUUUGGUCCAGGCACUCGGUGGUUCGAAUCCAUCCGCCCGAG
This is a transfer RNA of Gloeobacter violaceus PCC 7421, 72 nucleotides long. It matches the Rfam family "tRNA". From Rfam's summary of the family: Transfer RNA (tRNA) molecules are approximately 80 nucleotides in length. Their secondary structure includes four short double-helical elements and three loops (D, anti-codon, and T loops). Further hydrogen bonds mediate the characteristic L-shaped molecular structure. tRNAs have two regions of fundamental functional importance: the anti-codon, which is responsible for specific mRNA codon recognition, and the 3' end, to which the tRNAs corresponding amino acid is attached (by aminoacyl-tRNA synthetases). tRNAs cope with the degeneracy of the genetic code in two manners: having more than one tRNA (with a specific anti-codon) for a particular amino acid; and 'wobble' base-pairing, i.e. permitting non-standard base-pairing at the 3rd anti-codon position. Lineage: Bacteria; Bacillati; Cyanobacteriota; Cyanophyceae; Gloeobacterales; Gloeobacteraceae. The record is from Rfam.